Molecule: ribosomal RNA, 543 nt
Filed under: Salmonella enterica subsp. enterica
Lineage: Bacteria; Pseudomonadati; Pseudomonadota; Gammaproteobacteria; Enterobacterales; Enterobacteriaceae
Also listed under: 1 other name
Description: partial 23S ribosomal RNA
Rfam family: Bacterial large subunit ribosomal RNA
Source: RNAcentral
AGACCCGAAACCCGGUGAUCUAGCCAUGGGCAGGUUGAAGGUUGGGUAACACUAACUGGAGGACCGAACCGACUAAUGUUGAAAAAUUAGCGGAUGACCUGUGGCUGGGGGUGAAAGGCCAAUCAAACCGGGAGAUAGCUGGUUCUCCCCGAAAGCUAUUUAGGUAGCGCCUCGUGAACUCAUCUCCGGGGGUAGAGCACUGUUUCGGCUAGGGGGCCAUCCCGGCUUACCAACCCGAUGCAAACUGCGAAUACCGGAGAAUGUUAUCACGGGAGACACACGGCGGGUGCUAACGUCCGUCGUGAAGAGGGAAACAACCCAGACCGCCAGCUAAGGUCCCAAAGUCAUGGUUAAGUGGGAAACGAUGUGGGAAGGCCCAGACAGCCAGGAUGUUGGCUUAGAAGCAGCCAUCAUUUAAAGAAAGCGUAAUAGCUCACUGGUCGAGUCGGCCUGCGCGGAAGAUGUAACGGGGCUAAACCAUGCACCGAAGCUGCGGCAGCGACGCUGAUGCGUUGUUGGGUAGGGGAGCGUUCUGUAAGCCUG